AUACGGAGGACGCGAGCGUUAUCCGGAUUCAUUGGGUUUAAAGGGUGCGCAGGCGGCCGUGCAAGUCAGCGGUGAAAGCCCGGGGCCCAACCCCGGAAGUGCCGUUGAUACUGCAUGGCUUGAAUGCGGUCGAGGCGGGCGGAACGGGGCGUGGUGGGGUGGAAUGCGUAGAUAUGCCACAGAACGCCGAUAGCGGAGGCAGCUCGCCAGUCCUGCAUUGACGCUCGGGCACGAAAGCGUGGGGAUCGAACAGGAUUAGAUACCCUGGUAGUCCACGCCGUAAACGAUGGGCGCUCGUCGUCGGCGGCAGACAGUCGGCGGCCAAGCGAAAGCGAUAAGCGCCCCACCUGGGGAGUACGGUCGCAAGGCUGAAACUUAAAGGAAUUGACGGGG
RNAcentral lists this ribosomal RNA (393 nucleotides) under uncultured bacterium. RNAcentral describes it as "partial 16S ribosomal RNA". It matches the Rfam family "Bacterial small subunit ribosomal RNA", at positions 523 to 918 of the family's 1533-position model. The record is from RNAcentral.